AGACGGGGGGGGCGAGCGUUGUUCGGAAUUACUGGGCGUAAAGGGCGCGCAGGCGGCCUGGGAAGUCUUGGGUGAAAGCCCCCAGCUCAACUGGGGAAUGGCCUGAGAAACCACCAGGCUGGAGUGCUGGAGAGGGAAGCGGAAUUCCCGGUGGAGCGGUGAAAUGCGUAGAUAUCGGGAGGAACACCAGAGGCGAAGGCGGCUUCCUGGACAGACACUGACGCUGAGGCGCGAAAGCUAGGGGAGCAAACGGGAUUAGAAACCCUGGUAGUCC
Molecule: ribosomal RNA, 274 nt
Filed under: uncultured bacterium
Lineage: Bacteria
Description: partial 16S ribosomal RNA
Rfam family: Bacterial small subunit ribosomal RNA
Source: RNAcentral